GGCAUUAGCUCAGUUGGUUAGAGCGUUUGACUGGCAGUCAAGAGGUCAUCGGUUCGACUCCGAUAUGCUCC
RNAcentral lists this transfer RNA (71 nucleotides) under marine eukaryotic metagenome. It matches the Rfam family "tRNA". Rfam says of the family: Transfer RNA (tRNA) molecules are approximately 80 nucleotides in length. Their secondary structure includes four short double-helical elements and three loops (D, anti-codon, and T loops). The record is from RNAcentral.